UGGGAUGCGAAUCUCGAAAGCCUGUCUCAGUUCGGAUUGGAGGCUGAAACCCGCCUCCAUGAAGUUGGAUUCGCUAGUAAUCGCGCAUCAGCCAUGGCGCGGUGAAUACGUUCCCGGGCCUUGUACACACCGCCCGUCAAGCCAUGGGAGCCGGGAGCGCUUGAAGUGCGUCGCCGCGAGGCGCGCCCUAGAGCGAGACCGGUGACUGGGGCUAAGUCGUAACAAGGUAGC
RNAcentral lists this ribosomal RNA (231 nucleotides) under uncultured bacterium. RNAcentral describes it as "partial 16S ribosomal RNA". It matches the Rfam family "Bacterial small subunit ribosomal RNA", at positions 1261 to 1500 of the family's 1533-position model. The record is from RNAcentral.